UACGUAGGCAGCGAGCGUUGUUCGGAGUUACUGGGCGUAAAGAGUGCGUAGGCGGUUUUCUAAGUUUGGUGUGAAAUCUCCCGGCUUAACUGGGAGGGUGCGCCGAAGACUGGAAGGCUUGAGUAUGGGAGAGGUAAGCGGAAUUCCUGGUGUAGCGGUGAAAUGCGUAGAUAUCAGGAGGAACACCUGCGGUGUAGACGGCUUACUGGACCAUAACUGACGCUGAGGCACGAAAGCUAGGGGAGCAAACGGG
RNAcentral lists this ribosomal RNA (253 nucleotides) under uncultured bacterium. Its description in RNAcentral is "partial 16S ribosomal RNA". It matches the Rfam family "Bacterial small subunit ribosomal RNA", at positions 524 to 776 of the family's 1533-position model. The record is from RNAcentral.